This is a non-coding RNA of Trichobilharzia regenti, 46 nucleotides long. NCBI's taxonomy places the organism in Eukaryota, Metazoa, Platyhelminthes, Trematoda, Strigeidida, Schistosomatidae. The record is from Rfam.
GUACUGGUGAAGAGUCCCACACUAAGACGAAACAGCUGUCCAGUAC